Molecule: ribosomal RNA, 446 nt
Filed under: uncultured bacterium
Lineage: Bacteria
Description: bacterial SSU rRNA
Rfam family: Bacterial small subunit ribosomal RNA
Source: RNAcentral
UCCAGACUCCUACGGGAGGCAGCAGUAGGGAAUCUUUCACAAUGGGCGAAAGCCUGAUGGAGCAACGCCGCGUGCAGGAUGAAGGCCUUCGGGUUGUAAACUGCUUUUAUAAGCGAGAAAUAUGAUGGUAACUUAUGAAUAAGGAUCGGCUAACUACGUGCCAGCAGCCGCGGUCAUACGGAGGAUGCGAGCGUUAUCCGGAUUUAUUGGGUUUAAAGGGUGCGUAGGCGGAAUGCCAAGUCAGCGGUAAAAAUGCGGUGCUCAACGCCGUCGAGCCGUUGAAACUGGCGUUCUUGAGUGGGCGAGAAGUAUGCGGAAUGCGUGGUGUAGCGGUGAAAUGCAUAGAUAUCACGCAGAACUCCGAUUGCGAAGGCAGCAUACCGGCGCCCAACUGACGCUGAAGCACGAAAGCGUGGGUAUCGAACAGGAUUAGAUACCCCCGUAGU